AUGGGCUUUAUUUUUGGAAACUGUGGAACGUUCAGACCCUCGACGGCAAGUAAGGGGAGGGGAGCCUGUCAAAUCAUGCCGAGCCGAGCCAUCUUUGGUCAGAGGAGCAAAGAAGCCAUGCAAGGUGGAGUUUGGGGAAGGGAAGAUGCAGAUGUGCAUAAACCGCUGGCAGCAGAGCACAGCCAGCUGUCCACGGGGACCUGGUGGAGGCGAAGUCUGAUUUGGUUCCCUAAUCAAAUUGGAGUGAGGGGGAGGGAUGGGCCGUUACGGCUGUGGAAAUUUCUCUUUUACUUUAUUUCUUGCUUUUUAGGGUGGCACCUUCAGCAUGUGGAGGUUCCCAGGUGUGGCCCUAAAAAGAAGAAAAUUAAAAAAGUACAGAGUCUUUGAGCCAACAAUUCCCUUCUAGGAAUUAACCUAUAAGACACUCCCACCAGCCCUCCCACACUGAUGCAAUGAGCCUGAAGAUGGUACAGGGUGAAUAAUUUGUUCACCAACACUGGGAAACCCUCUCCCUCAAAGGCAGGUCGCAGGCAGCGGCCGAGGGUAUAAUGGGGGAAAAGAGGAUCCCUGAACCUUGCUGAGGGGAGCAGGUAUGGGUGCAGUUUUGUUGGAGGCAAUUUUGCAGUAGCCAUCUACUGCAAACCUCGAUCAGAAAAGUGCAGGAGUUCCCGUUGUGGGUGAGCGAAAAGAUACGUGCACUAUCUACAACAGUCCAAACAUGGGAGCAGCCAAAAUGUCCAUGGACAGAUAAAGGAAGAAAGAAACUAUAUGUGGUAGCUAUAUGCAGUGGAAUAUUACUCAGCCAUAAAAAAGAAUGAAAUGAUGCCAUUCGCAGCAACAUGGAUGGAACUAGAGCUGAUCAUACUAAGUGAAAGUAAGUCAGACGAAUAUCACGUGAUAUCACUUCCGUGUGGAAUCUUAACAAAUCAUGCAAGUGAACUUACAAAACAGAAACAGACUCACAGACUUCAAAAACACACUCUGGUUCCCAAAGGGGGCGGGUGGUGGGGAGGGAUGGAUUGAGGGUUUGAGACUGGCAGGUGUGCCCUGUGCUACGUGAAAUGGAGGAUCAGCAGGGACCAUACAGCACAGGGAACUCUACCCGAUAUUCUGUAAUAACUUAGAUGGGCAAAGACUCUGACAAAGAAUGGCUAUGUGUUUAUCUGAAUCACGUCGCUGUAAGAGCAGAAAUUAUCCAAACAUUGUACCGCAACUGUACUUCCACAAAACUUUAAAACAUGAGGGGGGGGACCCUCCCAUCUAUUUUCAAAGACAUAAGAAGAAGGACACACACAGUCACACAUUUAUAUUUAUAUGUAAGUGUGUAGCCCGUCUCCAAAAAUGGCCCCAACAAUUUUCCCGCCUCGUGCACAGGCGCAGGUGCUGCUUCCACAGGAAGAGGAAGAGCUUGUCUCCCAUGCCCUUGAACGUGGGCCUGUCCGGUGACUGGAGUAGAUCAAGAGAAUGUGGCAGAAGUGACAUUCGGGAAGCCAGCCCCAUGUGAUGAGAAACCCAAGCCACACGACGAGUGAGAGGACAGCCCGAGAGCUCCUGGUGACAGCCCAGCUCAACGCCCGGCCACCAGCCAGCACCAGCAGCCAGCGGGCACACUCUGGACUUUGCAUUCUCGCCACCAUUGCCUGAGGCCAAAGAACCCCUCAAUCCACACAGACACGAGGAAAAUAGAAGUUGUUCUUCUGGAGCUCUCAUCACGGCGCAGUGGAAACCAAUCCAACUAGGAACCAUGAGGUUGCAGGUUCGAUCCCUGGCCUCGCUCAGUGGGUGAGGGAUCCAGCGUUGCUGUGAGCUGUGGUGUAGGUCGCAGACGUGGCUCGGAUCCGGCGUUGCUGUAGCUGUGGUGUAGACUGGCAGCUGGAUAUCUGAUAGGACCCUUAGCCUGGGAACCUCCAUAUGCCGCGGGUGUGGCCCUAAAAAGACAAAAAAAGAAAGUUCUAAACCAUUAAGUUUUAAGAGCUUUGUUCCUCACAAUAGAUCUGAGAAACAGUCUUCAUUGCCAUCUUGUAUGAAAUAAAGAAAAACUGGGGGAGUUCCCA
RNAcentral lists this long non-coding RNA (2054 nucleotides) under Sus scrofa (pig). RNAcentral's name for it is "lncRNA (ENSSSCG00040039744.1)". Lineage: Eukaryota; Metazoa; Chordata; Mammalia; Artiodactyla; Suidae. The record is from RNAcentral.